UUUGAAGAUAUGCACUUUUGCUGUUAUAAUUGUGGGUAAUUUUGUCUUCCUAUAGAAAGUUCAACAUGAAUUGUUGUCCGUUUAUGCAACCCAAUUGCUCGAGAAGGAGCACUCUGGAUGUCAUGCAUUGCUUAGGGAUGACAAGGUAGAGGAUUUAUCAAGGAUGUAUAGGCUCUUUUCCAAAAUACCUCGAGGUUUAGAUCCGGUUUCUAGUAUAUUUAAACAGCAUGUUACUGCUGAACGUACAACAUUGGUUAAACAAGCGGAAGAUGCAGCCAGCAAUAAGAAGGUGAUGUAAUCUUGAUUGUGUUAUUUCAGAUCCCAUAGUCUUUGUGCAAUUUGUCUUCUGAGGAGGUGCAUUUCACAAGGCUCAUGAUUGAUCUGCCAUUACAUUGGACUUGGUUAACAAGUUAACAUGAAUCAGUCAUAUAA
This is a non-coding RNA of Camellia sinensis, 432 nucleotides long. Lineage: Eukaryota; Viridiplantae; Streptophyta; Magnoliopsida; Ericales; Theaceae. The record is from RefSeq and is a predicted model, not a curated record.